RNAcentral lists this ribosomal RNA (2900 nucleotides) under Clostridioides difficile. RNAcentral's name for it is "23S ribosomal RNA". It matches the Rfam family "Bacterial large subunit ribosomal RNA". Lineage: Bacteria; Bacillati; Bacillota; Clostridia; Peptostreptococcales; Peptostreptococcaceae. The record is from RNAcentral.
UGGUCAAGUUAUUAAGGGUGCAGGGCGGAUGCCUUGGCACUAGGAGCCGAUGAAGGACGUGAUAAGCUGCGAUAAGCUUCGGGGAGUUGCACGUAAACUUUGAUCCGAAGAUUUCCGAAUGAGGAAACUCACUUAGAGUAAUGUCUAAGUAUCAUUAAGUGAAUACAUAGCUUAAUGAGGGGAACUCAGGGAACUGAAACAUCUAAGUACCUGAAGGAAGAGAAAGAAAUUCGAUUCCGUAAGUAGCGGCGAGCGAACGCGGAUUAGCCCAAACCAAUAAAGUUUUCUUUAUUGGGGUUGCGGACAUAUCAUAACGAAGAGGUAUCGUAAUUGAAGAGGUUUGGAAAGACCCACCACAGAAGGUAAUAGUCCUGUAUGUUAAACGAGAAGACUUUAGAUAUGAUCCAGAGUACCACGGGACACGUGAAACCCUGUGGGAAGCAGGAGGGACCACCCUCCAAGGCUAAAUACUACCUAGUGACCGAUAGCGUAUAGUACCGUGAGGGAAAGGUGAAAAGAACCCCGGGAGGGGAGUGAAAUAGAACCUGAAACCCUGCACUUACAAGCUGUGGAAGCACAUUUCUUGUGUGACCGCGUACUUUUGUAGAACGGGCCAACGAGUUACGUUAAGUAGCAAGGUUAAGCACUUAAGGUGUGGAGCCGUAGCGAAAGCGAGUUUUAACUGAGCGUUCAGUUACUUGACGUAGACCCGAAACCGGGCGACCUACCCAUGAGCAGGAUGAAGCGAAAGUAAAAUUUCGUGGAGGUCCGAACCCACGAGCGUUGAAAAGCUCGGGGAUGACUUGUGGGUAGCGGUGAAAUUCCAAUCGAGCCCGGAGAUAGCUGGUUCUCCCCGAAAUAGCUUUAGGGCUAGCCUCAAGGUGAGAGAUACGGAGGUAGAGCACUGAAUGUCCUAGGGGGUAUUGCACCUACCGAAGACUAUCAAACUCCGAAUGCCGUCAUCUUAUACUUGGGAGUCAGACUGUGGGUGAUAAGAUUCAUAGUCGAAAGGGCAACAGCCCAGAUCGUCAGCUAAGGUCCCUAAAUGUAAGUUAAGUGGUAAAGGAUGUGGGAUUGCACAGACAACCAGGAUGUUGGCUUAGAAGCAGCCACUCAUUCAAAGAGUGCGUAAUAGCUCACUGGUCGAGUGAUCCUGCGCCGAAGAUUUCCGGGGGCUAAAACUUACUACCGAAGCUACGGCAUCAGUAAUGAUGGUGGGGGAGCUUCCCAUACGGGUUGAAGCAUGACCGUAAGGACAUGUGGACAGUAUGGGAGUGAGAAUGUUGGCAUGAGUAGCGAGAUGUGGGUGAGAAUCCCACAGGCCGUAAACCCAAGGUUUCCAGGGGGAAGGUUCGUCCGCCCUGGGUUAGUCGGGACCUAAGCUGAGGCCGAAAGGCGUAGGUGAUGGACAACAGGUUGAUAUUCCUGUACUACCGAUAACCGUUUGAGAGAAGGGAUGACACAGUAGGAUAAGCUAAGCACACUGUUGGUUAUGUGUGCCCAAGCAUUGAGGCAGUCAAAGUAGGCAAAUCCGCUUUGAUAAUGCUGGGAUGUGAUGGGGAGCGAAAUUUAGUAGCGAAGUAGCUGAUUUCACACUGUCAAGAAAAGUCUCUAUCGAGGUUAAAGGUACCCGUACCGCAAACCGACACAGGUGGGUGAGGAGAGUAUCCUAAGGCCAGCGAGAGAACUGUUGUUAAGGAACUCGGCAAAAUGACCCCGUAACUUAGGGAUAAGGGGUGCCACCAUCAGGUGGCCGCAGAGAAUAGGCCCAAGCGACUGUUUACCAAAAAACAUAGGUUUCUGCUAAGUCGCAAGACGAUGUAUAGGAGCUGACGCCUGCCCGGUGCUGGAAGGUUAAGGGGAUCUGUUAGAGCAAUCGAAGCAGUGAACUUAAGCCCCAGUAAACGGCGGCCGUAACUAUAACGGUCCUAAGGUAGCGAAAUUCCUUGUCGGGUAAGUUCCGACCCGCACGAAAGGCGUAACGAUUUGGGCACUGUCUCAACAACAGACUCGGUGAAAUUGUAAUUCCGGUGAAGAUGCCGGAUACCUGCGACAGGACGGAAAGACCCCAUGGAGCUUUACUGUAGCUUGACAUUGGGUCUUGGUACUACAUGUACAGGAUAGGUGGGAGGCUUUGAAACCAGGACGCCAGUUUUGGCGGAGCCAUCCUUGGGAUACCACCCUUGUAGUACUGGGACUCUAACCAUAGGCCAUGAAUCUGGUCUUGGGACACUGUCAGGUGGGCAGUUUGACUGGGGCGGUCGCCUCCCAAAAGGUAACGGAGGCGCUCAAAGGUUCUCUCAGUACGGUCGGAAAUCGUACGUAGAGUGUAAAGGCAAAGAGAGCUUGAUUGCAAGACAUACAGGUCGAGCAAGGAUGAAAAUCGGACUUAGUGAUCCGGUGGUUCUGCGUGGAAGGGCCAUCGCUCAACGGAUAAAAGCUACCCUGGGGAUAACAGGCUUAUCUCCCCCAAGAGUCCACAUCGACGGGGAGGUUUGGCACCUCGAUGUCGGCUCAUCACAUCCUGGGGCUGUAGUAGGUCCCAAGGGUUGGGCUGUUCGCCCAUUAAAGUGGUACGCGAGCUGGGUUCAGAACGUCGUGAGACAGUUCGGUCCCUAUCCGUCGCAGGCGUAGGAAAUUUGAGAAGACCUGUCCUUAGUACGAGAGGACCGGGAUGGACGUACCUCUGGUGUACCAGUUGUCCUGCCAAGGGCAUGGCUGGGUAGCUAUGUACGGAAUGGAUAAGCGCUGAAAGCAUCUAAGCGCGAAGCCAACUUCAAGAUAAGAUUUCCCACCGCAAGGGUAAGACCCCAGAAAGACUAUCUGGUUGAUAGGUCGAAGGUGUAAGUGCAGCAAUGUAUUUAGCUUAUCGAUACUAAUAGGUCGAGGACUUGACCAAU